AAUAUUUGACAAUGGGCGAAAGCCAGACACAGCCAUGCCGCGUGGAUGAUGACUGNCCNNGGGCUNUNAAGUACUUUCUACGGNNNNNAUAAUGACGGUCCCCGUAGAAGAAGCCUCGGCUAACUUCGUGCCUGCAGCCGCGGUAAUACGAAGGGGGCUAGCGGUGCUAGGAAUCACUUGGCGUAAAGCGACCGUAGUCGGCUUUUUAAGGCAGGGGUGAAAUCCUGGAGCUCAACUCCCGAACUGCCUUUGAUACUGGAGAGCUUGAGUUCGGGAGAGGUGAGUGGAACUGCGAGUGUAGAGGUGAAAAUCGUAGAUAUUCGCAAGAACACCAGUGGCGAAGGCGGCUCACUGGCCCGAUACUGACGCUGAGGUGCGAAAGCGUGGGGAGCAAACAGG
RNAcentral lists this ribosomal RNA (399 nucleotides) under uncultured bacterium. RNAcentral's name for it is "partial 16S ribosomal RNA". It matches the Rfam family "Bacterial small subunit ribosomal RNA", at positions 360 to 776 of the family's 1533-position model. The record is from RNAcentral.